This 516-nucleotide transfer RNA is filed under the name Acidithiobacillus ferrooxidans. Its description in RNAcentral is "partial 16S ribosomal RNA". The stretch from base 144 to 216 matches the Rfam family "tRNA". The record is from RNAcentral. Lineage: Bacteria; Pseudomonadati; Pseudomonadota; Acidithiobacillia; Acidithiobacillales; Acidithiobacillaceae.
ANCGCNGANACUCCUUUAAGAAAGGGUCUAGACCCCACACACGCCACUCGGGUAAGGAAUUGGGCCUAUAGCUCAGCGUGGCUAGAGCACACGACUGAUAAUCGCUGAGGUCAGUGGUUCGAGUCCACUUGGGCCCACCAAAUGGGGCUGUAGCUCAGUUGGGAGAGCACCUGCUUUGCAAGCAGGGGGUCACCGGUUCGAGACCGGUCAGCUCCACCACAGGGAUGGAAGGCCCGCAAAGAGCGCGGGCUGGUCGCUGGGGAAGCGGUAGAGAAGGGAUUUAGGAUGUAGUGUGCAGUGCUGAAUAACGCUUUAGGGAUGUAGGAAGUAAAAGUUAAAGUGCUAUUGAUCACUGCCCACUCGGAAGACUGAGUGCGUUAGUUCGUUCUUUGACAGUUGAGGAAGGGAAGGCCAUGUUUGUCAUCUUGCCGAUGGCAGACCUCCAGGUGGAUGCUUGGGGAUAUAUGGUCAAGUGAAUAAGGGCAUACGGUGGAAUGCCUUGACNNNNNAUNCCNU